RNAcentral lists this ribosomal RNA (301 nucleotides) under uncultured bacterium. Its description in RNAcentral is "partial 16S ribosomal RNA". It matches the Rfam family "Bacterial small subunit ribosomal RNA", at positions 509 to 807 of the family's 1533-position model. The record is from RNAcentral.
CAGUAGCCACGGUAAUACGAAGGUCCCGAGCGUUGUUCGGAAUCACUGGGCGUAAAGGGAGCGUAGGCGGCGUGGUAAGUCAGAUGUGAAAUCCCUGGGCUCAACCCCGGAACUGCAUCCGAUACUGCCGUGCUAGAGGAUUGGAGAGGUAGCUGGAAUUCUUGGUGUAGCAGUGAAAUGCGUGGAGAUCAAGAGGAACACUCGUGGCGAAAGCGAGCUACUGGACAAUAUCUGACGCUGAGGCUCGAAGGCCAGGGUAGCGAAAGGGAUUAGAUACCCCCGUAGUCCCUGUCUCUUAUAC